Molecule: non-coding RNA, 23 nt
Filed under: Cricetulus griseus (Chinese hamster)
Lineage: Eukaryota; Metazoa; Chordata; Mammalia; Rodentia; Cricetidae
Source: RNAcentral
CACAGAACUAGAAGCAAACAGGC